RNAcentral lists this ribosomal RNA (456 nucleotides) under uncultured organism. RNAcentral's name for it is "partial 16S ribosomal RNA". It matches the Rfam family "Bacterial small subunit ribosomal RNA", at positions 329 to 801 of the family's 1533-position model. The record is from RNAcentral.
ACGUACACUCCUGCGGGAGGCAGCAGUGGGGAAUCUUGCGCAAUGGGCGAAAGCCUGACGCAGCCAUGCCGCGUGAAUGAUGAAGGUCUUAGGAUUGUAAAAUUCUUUCACCGGGGACGAUAAUGACGGUACCCGGAGAAGAAGCCCCGGCUAACUUCGUGCCAGCAGCCGCGGUAAUACGAAGGGGGCUAGCGUUGCUCGGAAUUACUGGGCGUAAAGGGAGCGUAGGCGGACAUUUAAGUCAGGGGUGAAAUCCCGGGGCUCAACCUCGGAAUUGCCUUUGAUACUGGGUGUCUUGAGUAUGAGAGAGGUGUGUGGAACUCCGAGUGUAGAGGUGAAAUUCGUAGAUAUUCGGAAGAACACCAGUGGCGAAGGCGACACACUGGCUCAUUACUGACGCUGAGGCUCGAAAGCGUGGGGAGCAAACAGGAUUAGAAACCCCUGUAGUCCCAUGAU